This 481-nucleotide long non-coding RNA is filed under the name Pan troglodytes (chimpanzee). Its description in RNAcentral is "long non-coding RNA NONPTRT013839". Lineage: Eukaryota; Metazoa; Chordata; Mammalia; Primates; Hominidae. The record is from RNAcentral.
UGACCAGCUCUGAUUCAGUUUGAGAAAAGAGGACACAAAAGCAUGAAUAACAGGAGGAUGGAUAUAGAAUACCAGCAUCAGCAGGUGUACACGAUUUAAAGCACAUUUGGUAUCUAUUACCAAGCUGCCCUUCAGAGAGGUUGUCUCGUUACACAUUCCACAGCUGUGACUGAGAAACCGUCUUGUCGCAUUUGACAAUCCAGGUUACUAUCUAAAAACUUGAGUUUGUAAGAGCAACACGCCAUGAGAUAAUAUUCGUGCAAACGUAACUGACAAAAGACUAACAUCCCAUAAUACUAGAGCACCUACAAACCAAGAAGAUAAACAUCCCAUUGGGAAAGUGUAAAAAUAUGAACAUAAAGUUUACAGAAGAAAAAACACAAAUGGCUCAUAAACACACAAAAAGAUGAUAUUGUUUCCUGGUAAUUGGGGAAAUGCAAACAAAAACUACAAUGAAAUAUCGUGGUAUCGUGUAUCAAAU